This 432-nucleotide ribosomal RNA is filed under the name uncultured bacterium. Its description in RNAcentral is "partial 16S ribosomal RNA". It matches the Rfam family "Bacterial small subunit ribosomal RNA", at positions 29 to 507 of the family's 1533-position model. The record is from RNAcentral.
GCGCACGCUGGCGGCAGGCCUAACACAUGCAAGUCGAACGAACUCUUCGGAGUUAGUGGCGGACGGGUGAGUAACACGUGGGAACGUGCCUUUAGGUUCGGAAUAACUCAGGGAAACUUGUGCUAAUACCGAAUGUGCCCUUCGGGGGAAAGAUUUAUCGCCUUUAGAGCGGCCCGCGUCUGAUUAGCUAGUUGGUGAGGUAAAGGCUCACCAAGGCGACGAUCAGUAGCUGGUCUGAGAGGAUGAUCAGCCACAUUGGGACUGAGACACGGCCCAAACUCCUACGGGAGGCAGCAGUGGGGAAUCUUGCGCAAUGGGCGAAAGCCUGACGCAGCCAUGCCGCGUGAAUGAUGAAGGUCUUAGGAUUGUAAAAUUCUUUCACCGGGGACGAUAAUGACGGUACCCGGAGAAGAAGCCCCGGCUAACUUCGUG